GUUCAUGAUUCCACUUCUGGGGAACGUACAGGAUGAAAAACUGUCUGAGAAAUGCCACAGCAGCCACCCAUCUCUCUUCAACUACUUUCUCAGCUAAAGGUGAAAUAUUUCUGCUCCAACUCAAGGCAUCCAGGAGUCAGACAUUUAUGUUUGGGCUGGUCAGAGCUGCAGCCAUUCUCCCUUUGCAGCUGACAAGGAGAAAUGGGAACCUCCAGAAGGUUGUUCAGCUUAUCCUCAGGCAGAUAUCUAUGGUGGAUCAGAAGAUUUGCUCUCAGAAAGUGCCUUCUUGUCUCCACUGCAAGAGUUCCUGUGACCACCAUCUCCUCCCAGGUGUAAAAGACCUGCACACCUCCCUCGUGAUGGGAAUGUUCUGCACAUCUCCCUGCUGGAAAUCUCCUGCACAUCUCUCUCGUGAUGGGAAUGUUCUGCACAUCUCCCUGCUGGAAAUCUCCUGCACAUCUCUCUCAUGCUGGGAAUCCCCUGGUGCUUUCUGGAAAGGCUGCUCCUGUGCAGUUGGGUCCCUUUGGAGCUUUGCCCUGGAGUAGCUGUGGUGGAGCCUCAGCAGCACAAAGUGGGAAGUAGUAUUCCCACAUUGUUUUUCUCAUUUAAUUCUCAGGGAAAAGCCUCCAAUUUUUCUAAAAAUCCUGUCAGUCUCACUUGUGAAAUCUGACGUACGGCCUAAAAAUAGUGUUUCGGUGAGAGCUGAGAGCAUCGACAGUGAACUGACUGCAGGAGCAGAGGUUGGCAAGCAUACACUGCUCAACAUUUCCAAAACUAAUUUUCCACAUCAAGUCUCCUCUUCCUUUUCCCUGUGCUAUUUAAACAGAAAUGUAAAAAGAAACUGUUAAGGAAACCCACAUAUGUAAUUGUUAGGGGAGGCAGAAAGUUUUGUGGCUGAGAAACAGGAGAAGAGCCAGAUGAUCCUGUUCCUUCUCCUGCCACAGACUUGCGUGACCUUGGCAGGCCAGGCCGGCGUUUCCCAGAGCGUUGACUCACGUUGGCUGCUGCUCCCCUGGACACUGGGAGUGGGACAGCUCAGCCGGGUGCUUUCACAAGUGUUGAGCAGUCACAUUUCCACUAGGCUGCUCAAAAUGAGAAAAUGCAGUUUUCAGCCCUGCUCCUGAACUUCCUUUCUGUUCCUCUGAAGCAAUGAAGGAGGUCUGCUCUGAGAGGGCAGUGGGGCACUGACCACGGAGAUGUGAUCACUCCAGCUGAGUGUCUGUCCUUGUUGUUCCACAUUUCCUCAUCUGCAGGAUAUUCAGUCCUGAAGAGUCAACAGUGAGUUCCUGUAUUAAAAAAAGCCCUGUGCCCCAAGGAGUUGGGGAAUGAUAAGGCCCCAGGACUGUACAGUCCCCCAUUAUACUCCUGCUUCUCCAGAGAGUUGGAUUUCUCAAGUGCAAUUUGUGGUCUGGUGUUUGGGGCUAAUUUUUAUGUGAAUAAAUGGGUCUGGUGAGGGACA
RNAcentral lists this long non-coding RNA (1459 nucleotides) under Junco hyemalis (dark-eyed junco). RNAcentral's name for it is "lncRNA (ENSJHYG00000013183.1)". The record is from RNAcentral. Lineage: Eukaryota; Metazoa; Chordata; Aves; Passeriformes; Passerellidae.